Molecule: non-coding RNA, 74 nt
Organism: Dehalobacter sp. CF
Lineage: Bacteria; Bacillati; Bacillota; Clostridia; Eubacteriales; Desulfitobacteriaceae
Source: Rfam
GGGCUUGUAGCUCAGCUGGUUAGAGCGCACGCCUGAUAAGCGUGAGGUCGGUGGUUCGAGUCCACCCAGGCCCA